RNAcentral lists this ribosomal RNA (324 nucleotides) under uncultured eukaryote. RNAcentral describes it as "partial 18S ribosomal RNA". It matches the Rfam family "Eukaryotic small subunit ribosomal RNA", at positions 1470 to 1796 of the family's 1831-position model. The record is from RNAcentral.
CCCUCAGAUGUUCUGGGCCGCACGCGCGCUACACUGAUGCAUUCAACGAGUUUCUUCCUGGUCCGAGAGGAAUGGGUAACCUUUUGAAAGUGCAUCGUGAUAGGGAUAGACUAUUGCAAUUAUUGGUCUUCAACGAGGAAUUCCUAGUAGACGUAGUUCAUCAGACUGCAUCGAUUACGUCCCUGCCCUUUGUACACACCGCCCGUCGCUCCUACCGAUUGAAUGCUCAGGUGAGCCAUUCGGACUUUCAUCAUGCUGGUUUCCAGUUUUGAUGAAGGAAAGUCUUGCGAACCUUAUCAUUUAGAGGAAGGAGAAGUCGUAACA